GUCUUGUACACACCGCCCGUCACACCACGAGAGUUUGUAACACCCGAAGCCGGUGGAGUAACCUUUUAGGAGCUAGCCGUCGAAGGUGGGACAAAUGAUUGGGGUGAAGUCGUAACAAGGUAGCCGUAUCGGAAGGUGCGGCUGGAUCACCUCCUUU
This 157-nucleotide ribosomal RNA is filed under the name Escherichia coli. Its description in RNAcentral is "partial 16S ribosomal RNA". It matches the Rfam family "Bacterial small subunit ribosomal RNA", at positions 1378 to 1533 of the family's 1533-position model. Lineage: Bacteria; Pseudomonadati; Pseudomonadota; Gammaproteobacteria; Enterobacterales; Enterobacteriaceae. The record is from RNAcentral. RNAcentral also lists the same sequence under 1 other name.